Molecule: ribosomal RNA, 95 nt
Filed under: Bacillus amyloliquefaciens
Lineage: Bacteria; Bacillati; Bacillota; Bacilli; Caryophanales; Bacillaceae
Source: RNAcentral
UAGCGAAGAGGUCACACCCGUUCCCAUGCCGAACACGGAAGUUAAGCUCUUCAGCGCCGAUGGUAGUCGGGGGUUUCCCCCUGUGAGAGUAGGAC